CCUGUGGACCGUUAUACAAACGAAAGUAGUCUAAAGACCGAUACGUCUUUGAUAAAAUCGGACGGUAUGAAGCAGGAA
The submitters of this non-coding RNA (78 nucleotides) gave its source as unclassified sequences. The record is from Rfam.